RNAcentral lists this ribosomal RNA (301 nucleotides) under uncultured bacterium. Its description in RNAcentral is "partial 16S ribosomal RNA". It matches the Rfam family "Bacterial small subunit ribosomal RNA", at positions 509 to 807 of the family's 1533-position model. The record is from RNAcentral.
CAGUAGCCGCGGUAAUACGAAGGGGGCUAGCGUUGCUCGGAAUUACUGGGCGUAAAGGGCGCGUAGGCGGACAGUUCAGUCGGGGGUGAAAGCCCGGGGCUCAACCUCGGAAUUGCCUUCGAUACUGGCUGUCUUGAGUAUGAGAGAGGUGUGUGGAACUCCGAGUGUAGAGGUGAAAUUCGUAGACAUUCGGAAGAACACCAGUGGCGAAGGCGACACACUGGCUCAUUACUGACGCUGAGGCGCGAAAGCGUGGGGAGCAAACAGGAUUAGAUACCCGUGUAGUCCCUGUCUCUUAUAC